This 648-nucleotide ribosomal RNA is filed under the name uncultured Mycobacterium sp. RNAcentral describes it as "bacterial SSU rRNA". It matches the Rfam family "Bacterial small subunit ribosomal RNA", at positions 127 to 789 of the family's 1533-position model. Lineage: Bacteria; Bacillati; Actinomycetota; Actinomycetes; Mycobacteriales; Mycobacteriaceae. The record is from RNAcentral.
UGCCCUGCGCUUUGAGAUAAGCCUGGGAAACUGGGUCUUAUACCGGAUAGGACUACGCACUGCAUGGUGUGUGCUGGAAAGCUUUUGCGGUGUGGGAUGGGCCCUCGGCCUAUCAGCUUGUUGGUGGGGUGAUGGCCUACCAAGGCUACGACAGGUAGCCGGCCUGAGAGGGUGACCGGCCACACUGGGACUGAAAUACGGCCCAGACUCCUACGGGAGGCAGCAGUGGGGAAUAUUGCACAAUGGGCGCAAGCCUGAAGCAGCGACGCCGCGUGAGGGAUGACGGCCUUCGGGUUGUAAACCUCUUUCGCCAGGGACGAAGCGCAAGUGACGGUACCUGGAGAAGAAGGACCGGCCAACUACGUGCCAGCAGCCGCGGUAAUACGUAGGGUCCGAGCGUUGUCCGGAAUUACUGGGCGUAAAGAGCUCGUAGGUGGUUUGUCGCGUUGUUCGUGAAAACUCACAGCUUAACUGUGGGCGUGCGGGCGAUACGGGCAGACUGGAGUACUGCAGGGGAGACUGGAAUUCCUGGUGUAGCGGUGGAAUGCGCAGAUAUCAAGAGGAACACCGGUGGCGAAGGCGGGUCUCUGGGCAGUAACUGACGCUGAGGAGCCAAAGCGUGGGGAGCGAACAGGAUUAGAUACCCUG